This 693-nucleotide long non-coding RNA is filed under the name Manihot esculenta (cassava). Its description in RNAcentral is "long non-coding RNA (MESC_LNC005627)". Lineage: Eukaryota; Viridiplantae; Streptophyta; Magnoliopsida; Malpighiales; Euphorbiaceae. The record is from RNAcentral.
UUUUCAGAAGGCAGCCUGAGACUCAGCCUGCUAGGGCUGCAACUGCUCUCUCUCCCACAAAAUUGCAGCUUUUUGAGAAAAGACCUAUCCAUCUUUCUUUUCUUUAGCAACCUCUCGUCUCUCACAUGAUACAAAUCCCAUUUCCAGUCUAUAAAACUUUUAUUUUUAAAAUAUUUUUUAUAAAAAAUUAGAAAAAAUGAUUUAUUUAUUUAUUCACUCUUCUUUUGUAGCAGAGGAGAGCUCACUGACUACAAUUGACCAGUCCAGGCCAAAAAAACACAAUGCAAGUUCUAUUCUAGCAGGCUAAUAAUCUCGCUUGGGGGAGCCUGCAGGAGCCAGGAGGUCAUGUCCACCAGUCUCACUGUAGAUGGCCAAGCUCAAAAGCUUAUCCUAAACCCUGUUGGCCUCGUGAUAGCUGUGAAGCCUGCAGGAGCCUGGAGGUCAUGUCUACCAGUCUCACUGUAGAUGGCCAAGCUCAAAAGCUUAUCCUAAACCCUGUUGGCCUCGUGAUAACAGUGCUUCACAGCGAAGAAAUUUUAGCAUACCUAUGUACUAGUCGUUAUGAUAAUCCAUUUAUAUUUAAUAUACAGAAUUAAUAUAUAUAUAUAUAUAUAUUUUGUACAAAAAUAAUUUUGUUUUUCUGGUUUGUAGGUCUUUUAAUGAUAAUUUAUUGAUUAUAUUUUUAAUAUACCC